This 73-nucleotide transfer RNA is filed under the name Candidatus Brocadiia bacterium. Its description in RNAcentral is "tRNA-Met". It matches the Rfam family "tRNA". From Rfam's summary of the family: Transfer RNA (tRNA) molecules are approximately 80 nucleotides in length. Their secondary structure includes four short double-helical elements and three loops (D, anti-codon, and T loops). The record is from RNAcentral. Lineage: Bacteria; Pseudomonadati; Planctomycetota; Candidatus Brocadiia.
GGUGGCGUAGCUCAGCUGGCAGAGCAGCGGAAUCAUAAUCCGUAGGUCGGGGGUUCAAACCCCUCCGCCACUA